RNAcentral lists this ribosomal RNA (505 nucleotides) under uncultured bacterium. Its description in RNAcentral is "partial 16S ribosomal RNA". It matches the Rfam family "Bacterial small subunit ribosomal RNA", at positions 28 to 507 of the family's 1533-position model. The record is from RNAcentral.
GACGAACGCUGGUGGCGUGCCUAAUACAUGCAAGUAGAACGCACAGUUUAUACCGUAGCUUGCUACACCAUAGACUGUGAGUUGCGAACGGGUGAGCAACGCGUAGGUAACCUGCCUGGUAGCGGGGGAUAACUAUUGGAAACGAUAGCUAAUACCGCAUAAUAUUAAUUAUUGCAUGAUAAUUAAUUGAAAGGUGCAAUUGCACCACUACCAGAUGGACCUGCGUUGUAUUAGCUAGUAGGUGAGGUAACGGCUCACCUAGGCGACGAUACAUAGCCGACCUGAGAGGGUGAUCGGCCACAUUGGGACUGAGACACGGCCCAGACUCCUACGGGAGGCAGCAGUAGGGAAUCUUCGGCAAUGGACGAAAGUCUGACCGAGCAACGCCGCGUGAGUGAAGAAGGUUUUCGGAUCGUAAAGCUCUGUUGUAAGAGAAGAACGGGUGUGAGAGUGGAAAGUUCACACUGUGACGGUAUCUUACCAGAAAGGGACGGCUAACUACGUG